UACGAAGGGGGCUAGCGUUGUUCGGAAUCACUGGGCGUAAAGCGCACGUAGGCGGCUUGUUAAGUCAGAGGUGAAAGCCUGGAGCUCAACUCCAGAACUGCCUUUGAUACUGGCGAGCUCGAGUAUGACAGAGGUUGGUGGAACUCCGAGUGUAGAGGUGAAAUUCGUAGAUAUUCGGAAGAACACCAGUGGCGAAGGCGGCCAACUGGGUCAAUACUGACGCUGAGGUACGAAAGCAUGGGGAGCAAACAGG
RNAcentral lists this ribosomal RNA (253 nucleotides) under uncultured bacterium. RNAcentral describes it as "partial 16S ribosomal RNA". It matches the Rfam family "Bacterial small subunit ribosomal RNA", at positions 524 to 776 of the family's 1533-position model. The record is from RNAcentral.